This 253-nucleotide ribosomal RNA is filed under the name uncultured bacterium. RNAcentral's name for it is "partial 16S ribosomal RNA". It matches the Rfam family "Bacterial small subunit ribosomal RNA", at positions 524 to 776 of the family's 1533-position model. The record is from RNAcentral.
UACGGAGGAUCCAAGCGUUAUCCGGAUUUAUUGGGUUUAAAGGGUGCGUAGGCGGCCUGUUAAGUCAGGGGUGAAAGACGGUAGCUCAACUAUCGCAGUGCCCUUGAUACUGAUGGGCUUGAAUGGACUAGAGGUAGGCGGAAUGAGACAAGUAGCGGUGAAAUGCAUAGAUAUGUCUCAGAACACCGAUGGCGAAGGCAGCUUACUAGGGUCGUAUUGACGCUGAGGCACGAAAGCGUGGGGAUCAAACAGG